Molecule: ribosomal RNA, 245 nt
Filed under: uncultured bacterium
Lineage: Bacteria
Description: partial small subunit ribosomal RNA
Rfam family: Bacterial small subunit ribosomal RNA
Source: RNAcentral
AGAAUCAACGCUGGCGGCGUGCCUAACACAUGCAAGUCGCACGAGAAAGUGGAGCAAUCCAUGAGUACAGUGGCGCACGGGUGAGUAACACGUGAAUAAUCUACCUCCGAGUGGGGAAUAACCUAGAGAAAUCUGGGCUAAUACCGCAUAACACUUACGAGUCAAAGCAGCAAUGCGCUUGGAGAGGAGUUCGCGGCCGAUUAGCUAGUUGGCGGGGUAAUGGCCCACCAAGGCGAUGAUCGGUA